UCGGGAAUUUUGGGCAAUGGGCGAAAGCCUGACCCAGCAACGCCGCGUGAAGGAUGAAGUAUUUCGGUAUGUAAACUUCGUAAGAAUAGGAAGAAUAAAUGACGGUACUAUUUGUAAGGUCCGGCUAACUACGUGCCAGCAGCCGCGGUAAUACGUAGGGACCAAGCGUUGUUCGGAUUUACUGGGCGUAAAGGGCGCGUAGGCGGUUUGUCAAGUCAGUUGUGAAAUCUCCGAGCUUAACUCGGAACGGUCAACUGAUACUGCAGUGCUAGAGUGCGGAAGGGGCAAUCGGAAUUCUUGGUGUAGCGGUGAAAUGCGUAGAUAUCAAGAGGAACACCUGAGGUGAAGACGGGUUGCUGGGCCGACACUGACGCUGAGGCGCGAAAGCCAGGGGGAGCAAACGGGAUUAGAUACCCACGUAGUCCCUGAGCGGGCUGGCAAGGCG
RNAcentral lists this ribosomal RNA (445 nucleotides) under uncultured bacterium. Its description in RNAcentral is "bacterial SSU rRNA". It matches the Rfam family "Bacterial small subunit ribosomal RNA", at positions 355 to 822 of the family's 1533-position model. The record is from RNAcentral.